GUCCACUAAGCAAAUCCUUUAAUGAAAUAAAAACACAACAUUACUUUCUGUGAAGUACAGGAAAGUACUAGUUUUUAUUCCUUCAUAAUCAAACUUCACAAACAGCGUGAACUUGUACAAUACCUCAGAGUGAAAAUUACAAAAAAAGUGCUGGUAACAUUUACAAAAAAUCAUCCUUACUUAGCAACAAUCAGUUUAUUCUUCCUCACUUUUUUUAGUCUUUUGUAUUAAGGCUUAAUACUUCUGUAUAAAGUAUAUGCAAGAUAAGUCUUCACAGUUUUUCGAAAAAAGUCACAAUAUUAUGUAACAUAAUGAAGCUUUACGGCUAUUUUUCUUUAUAAUAACAAAUACACAUCACUGGUAAAUAUACGUGAAAUACAGGGCUUACUGUAAAAUGGCAGGUAAUGAUACUGUUUGCUGAAAUAACUUGCUUUCACACAUUGAUAGGAAAGCUAAUAUUUCCAGAUACCAAAAAUCAUAGUUAUCAUGAUUGCUAUCAUAAAUGAUUGAUGAUUUAAAAUGAUCAAUAAAGAACAUUUAGGCUUCAACAAUAUUUCACCCCACUACUCUUGCUGUCUAUUUUCUUAUGGAUAAUUAUGAAUUACAAUAUAUGUGGGUGGACUUUGACUCUUUGGAUGGCUAAACUGAUGUUACAAUUGACAAGGAAAGUUGCAUUUCCCAUCCAUCAGUGUUUUACUUCACAAAUGUUGUAGUCUUUUUUUCACAACUAUUUUUAAUCAAUAAUUUCCUAAUGAACUUUGAACUGACCUUGAAUCUUUACAGAUCAUAUGAGUGUUUUAAAACAAAAAUGACUAAAUCAGUGAAGAAAACUGUAUGUUUUAACAUGGAGGAAGUUUAAUGUCUUAUGUUGGAAUCCUUUGAAAAAUAAAUGUGUCUACAUAACAUAAACCUUUUUUACCUUUUGUUCAGUUAUCUUUUUGAUGAGGACAUUUUACAAUGAUUGCAUGUUUAUGGGAUAUGUUGUAACUCUCCUCUCCUUCCUGUCCCUCAUUUAGGGCUAGUAAGAGCCGUUUCAUUUUCUCCAACACAAUCACAAGAGGAAACUAUGCACCUCAGACUCGGACACUUCUGAUUGGUCAAAUAUGUCAACUCUAAACAACAAUGUGUGCGUGUCCAAGUUCAUAAUGUGCGUCUCAAAGACAAGUUUCCAUUCUGUACCUUUACACAAUUUUUUUUCCCAACAAACUUUUCAAAUAUCACCUUUUACACAGCAUUACCCCUGUGCACAGACAGCUCUCUUAUUUCAGAUACUGUGGCUUGAAGAAUGUGUCAAUUGUUCUGUGUCAUAUUGCUUUCCAUCAACGAAGACCAAAAUAUGUUUAGUGCAAAUCUCUUUUCUGGUUUGAUAAGUGGUAGUUGGCUCUAAAAAAAGACUUUGACAUUAAGGUCACUACAGGGUUCAAUCUAUAUGUUUGAUUGACAUAGUAAGACAACAUAUACCGAGUGGUUUCUUUUGAUUAAUGAAUUGCUAUUAAGUGGUAUCCCUUUUGAUAUUUUAGCAUUUACUUAUUUUGUUAGAAUAGGGAAUUUUGAAAUUGUUAUUGUAUAAUUAUGAUGGCCAGAUUUUAUAAGCCUGACAAAUGCAACAUUUUGGCAGAUAUAUUUCAGCACCUUAAUAUAUUUCAGCACCAUCGAUUAAAUGGUGGAAAUAUCAUUUCCAAUCAGAGAAGUCACUAUUCCUUCUCUAGCAGGUUGGACCCUCUCUGUCUGUCAGGUAAUGGGUGCGAUAAGGCUGUAUUCUGUGCAGUCGGAUAAUGUCUCUCAUAUAAUAGCUCUCAACUUGGAAAUGUUGGAAAACUCACUCCAGUCCAGUGUUUGACAAGUCAAAGUAUGAAACGUCCUUGUAGCCUACCUACAUACAUAAAAAACUCAUCACCUAUUUCAAAACAGCAGUCAUACAUUUCAAACAACGUUGUUUCAUAACAGUAAUAAAAAUACCAACCAACUUGGAGCACACAUAAAAGAAAACAAACUGAAAAAACAACAUUACUGCAGCAUAUAAAUCAGGGUUGCUUAUUUGUGAUGUUAACUACCUUUACUACAACAGCUCCACUUCUGCCAAGUUUAUUAUUCUAAUAUAUAAGGAGUAUUUCAUCAGGAAGAUAAAGAAAUCACAAGCCAAAGCAGGCAACAAAACCUAACAAAAGAUUCUUAAUUAAAUACAUGUUCAUACACACACACACACACACACACACACACACACACACACACACACACACACACACA
Molecule: long non-coding RNA, 2247 nt
Filed under: Salmo salar (Atlantic salmon)
Lineage: Eukaryota; Metazoa; Chordata; Actinopteri; Salmoniformes; Salmonidae
Description: lncRNA (ENSSSAG00000090685.1)
Source: RNAcentral